GGAGGGGUGGCAGAGUGGUCGAAUGCACCGGUCUUGAAAACCGGCAUAGGGCAACCUAUCGUGGGUUCGAAUCCCACCCUCUCCGCCA
Molecule: transfer RNA, 88 nt
Filed under: Roseibacillus sp.
Lineage: Bacteria; Pseudomonadati; Verrucomicrobiota; Verrucomicrobiia; Verrucomicrobiales; Verrucomicrobiaceae
Description: tRNA-Ser
Rfam family: tRNA
About the family: Transfer RNA (tRNA) molecules are approximately 80 nucleotides in length. Their secondary structure includes four short double-helical elements and three loops (D, anti-codon, and T loops).
Source: RNAcentral